GAUAGGUCUCUUCAUUUGACAGGGUGAUAGGCUUGUCCAUACACUUUUUAAACCACAUUUUCGAGUAAAAUCCUCAGUGCAUAUGGCAGCACACUUUUCAUGCUGAUCCUAUUAAUUUCAUUCUCCCCUUGCUUAACCGCCUUCUCAGUAACCUCUUGCUUCUGCUGAGCAAUUUUCAUCAUGGAUUCAAAAUCUCCAAACGUGGCUUGAAGGGAACGCACCUUCUGCACCACGGCGUCCAGCGUGGCGGCCAGCUCUUGCCGCUGCCGCCCCGAGGCCUCCCUCUCGCGGGCGCUCCGCCCGACCUCCUCCCGCAGCUGCCGCACGUACCAGCCGGCGGGCAGCGCGGCGCCCAGCACCACUGCGGCGCCCAGCAGCAGCGCCCAGCCGCGCCGCGGGCCGGCUGCGGAGCGGCCCCCUCCGCCCCCCGCGCCGGACCGGCCGCCCCGGCCGUGAGACGCCGCCGCCGCCGGCUUCUUGGCCGCCGCCUCCUCGGAGCCGCCCGGCUGCGCGCCCCGCUCGUUGGCGGCGGCGACGGCGGGCGGGCUGCCCCCCUUGGGGCCCCGGUGCUUGGCGGCCGACAUGGCGGGACGGGGCCGACCCCGUGCGCCGAGCGGGAGCAGCGGGAGCGAAGGAGGCAGGAGGGGAGCGAAGGCGGGAGGAAAGGAAGGAGGGAGGGAAGGAGGGAGGCCGCCGCCGUGCGAUGGGGCGGGGGUGCCGGCCCGGGCAGCGCCCGCUCCCCGCCCCGCCCCGCGAAACCGCCACGCACGCGGGGCCGGGCCUGGGCCCCCGCGGGGCAGCCGGGCGCCACGCACACGGGGACCGAGCCGUCUCGGGGGGCGCGGCCAUCCCCAGCCCGGAGGGGAACGCGGCGCUGCCCCGCGCGGCACCGAAGCUCUGUGCGGGCUACAGGACAGACCGUGCUGCAGGAAAACGUACGUGUGUCAGAAACACGCCUCGAGUCCAUCAGCAUCGUUCCUCUUUUUAAUUUCUUUUGCACUGGUGGCACCAGUUAGCAUAGCGACUGUGGGCUGAUAGGCACCCAACUGCUCUGCCAGCUCACUGAGAAGUGUAAGGACGAUCUGGGCGUAGACCUUUCAGUGUACCCCCUUAGUCAGUGAUGGAUUACAGGGACGGGGGGUUGGUAACCUUUCAGGUAAAGAUGCCCCUUUACAUAAAAGUGUCCACACAUCAGGUUGGAUAUGAGGAACAAUUUCUUCUCAGGAAGAGAAGAGUGGUCUUUCCAACUUUAAUGAUUCAAUGAUCACACACAGUGCGAGGCAAAGGUGGUCAGUCACAGCAUUUGACAUUUCUAACUGUGGGUUAUAGUUCUGGAAGUGAGUCCUAACUCUGACAAAAAGCAACUAAGGUAUGCUUUCUUUUAUCCUCAACAUCCAGGCAGCAGCAAUACAGACUUCUUUGUAUAUGCCGAUACAAUACAUCACACUUGCAGUUGCUGGGCUUUCUUCAGUUCUUGAACCCCCUGUGCUGAACAGUACUUCAUUGUUCCCUUUGACAGUGGAAGCAAGGUUUAUUCUGUCCACAGAAUCACAGAAUCAUCUGAGUUGGAAGGGAUCCCCUUCCGAGACCAUCUAGUCCAACUCCCCUGCAAUGAACCAGGACACCUACAGGUAGAUCAAGGUGCUCAGAGCCCCUCCACUCUGACCUUGGAUGUCUCCUGGGAUGGGGAUCCACCACCUCUCUGGGCAACCUGUGCCAGUGCCUCACCACUCCUACCAAAAAAGCUUUUCUUCUGUUUAGUGAGGUGCCUGAAGAGUCAGAGCAAAAUGCAUAUUGGAAGAUGCUAUUCCAGAGCUGGUAAAGGACAGCGUGCAGCAGGUGGUGACUGCAUAAAGCUGACAGCUUCCAAUCCUUGGAGCCAGGAUUCUUGACUCAGGACAGUGUUGUGACAAAGCAUCCGAUGUGACAGAGUCUGUAAGUGGAGAAUCCUAAAUAGCAAAACAUGCAAAAAUGUCUUCUCUGCUGCUUUGUCCCAACGCUUACCUUUACUUCAGACAGAAAUGAGGCCACUCAGUUUUUAAUGCCUCCUUGUUUCUCCCCAGUAGACCUGCUGAGUAACUAGGUCAUCAGGAUGGACUCUCAAGGAUUCUUUUUUAUUUUAUCGUUUAAUCGCCAGAUGGUGAACAAAGUAAGCUGAUUCUUUAUUGCUUCUUUCUUUCACAGCCAUUAGGGAUGAGGCUUACACGGUAGACUUGUAUCAAUGCUUCUGCCUUGAGUUUUCUCAGGAGGUUCAUAAGGAGUAACAUGCAAAGCAGUCAUGGAGUUAGACCUGGGCUAAGAGCAAACAACCGUCUAUCAGUAGUGCUGGUGUUGAUUUCAAAAGGAUUUGCUGGUUUGUUUUUUAUGAAUAAUGCAACGAAAAGCUCUUGGCAGUUGGUUACUCCCUCGGGCCUUGCUCUUCUUCCCUGCAUUUUAAUAUGUAUCUUUCUAUGUAAAGCUAACUUUGAAAAAGUCUGUGUUCAUGUCUCUAUCUGUUAUUAUUUGCCUGUAUUAAAGAAAUGUGUGGGAUGAAAGUGAAGAGCAAUUCUGUGCAAGCCAUACAGUCAAUCAAUGAAAAUAACCCUUCAAAGCUCUACUCAGGCUUCUGGGCAGAGCUCUUUCAUACGUAGUUUCGGUGUCUCGAAGACAUAACAAAGUGUUAGAAGCAAGAAGUUCUUUCCAGUCCUGUGCCUAAGCUGCUGAGCUACUAAUGCAAACUUGAUUUAUUUCCUUCUUGUGCUUUUGUGUUAUGCUGAAAUGCAUUUGUUUGCCAAGAAUCAUUCCAUGAGUGGAAGUUCAUUAUGCAUACAUGCAAGCUGUAACUCCUUGCAAGAGAAAAGCUUGGGGUGCUAAUUUAUCUAUUCCUCUAUUUGAUUACAACAAGAAAUUCAACCAAGUCUCAUCUUGGAAGACAUUUUCUUGUUAGUUUGUUUUCACUUUGAUUUCCAGUACAUUCCUUUUUUUUUCUUUAAUCAAGUUUGGAUUGAGUAUUCCUCAGAUACAGUGAACCCUAAGGCAGGAUCACACAACCCCAGAUUUCAGACAUCUGAUCUUUAUGCCAAGGAUUUGUAUGAACCAAAGUGUUCAGCUUGUACGCAGUGUUCCACUUAGUAACUACUAGCAUGGGUCAUGAAAGGAAAAAGUAACAGUUAAAU
This 3155-nucleotide long non-coding RNA is filed under the name Gallus gallus (chicken). The record is from RNAcentral. Lineage: Eukaryota; Metazoa; Chordata; Aves; Galliformes; Phasianidae.